RNAcentral lists this unclassified non-coding RNA (253 nucleotides) under uncultured bacterium. RNAcentral describes it as "contains 16S-23S intergenic spacer region". It matches the Rfam family "Bacterial small subunit ribosomal RNA", at positions 524 to 776 of the family's 1533-position model. The record is from RNAcentral.
GACGGGGGAGGCCAGUGUUAUUCUUCGUAAUUGGGCGUCAAGGGUAUGUAGACGGUCUAUAUCAUUAUUCUUAAGAAGGCCAUGGUUUAACUGUGGGAGUUCGAAUGAGACGUAUAGACUAGAGUUAUCUAGGAGAAAGUGGAAUUCUUGGUGGAGAAAUGCAAGACAGAGACCCCAAGGGAAUCCCCAAAGGCGAAGGCAACUUUCUAGAUUCAACUGACGUUUAGGUGCUAAGGUGUGGGGAGCGAAUCGG